AGUCGAGCGGGGUGAUGUAGCUUGCUACAUUACCUAGCGGCGGACGGGUGAGUAAUGCUUAGGAAUCUGCCUAUUAGUGGGGGACAACAUUCCGAAAGGAAUGCUAAUACCGCAUACGCCCUACGGGGGAAAGCAGGGGAUCUUCGGACCUUGCGCUAAUAGAUGAGCCUAGGUCAGAUUAGCUAGUUGGUGGGGUAAAGGCCUACCAAGGCGACGAUCUGUAGCGGGUCUGAGAGGAUGAUCCGCCACACUGGGACUGAGACACGGCCCAGACUCCUACGGGAGGCAGCAGUGGGGAAUAUUGGACAAUGGGCGCAAGCCUGAUCCAGCCAUGCCGCGUGUGUGAAGAAGGCCUUUUGGUUGUAAAGCACUUUAAGCGAGGAGGAGGCUACUUAGAUUAAUACUCUAGGAUAGUGGACGUUACUCGCAGAAUAAGCACCGGCUAACUCUGUGCCAGCAGCCGCGGUAAUACAGAGGGUGCGAGCGUUAAUCGGAUUUACUGGGCGUAAAGCGUGCGUAGGCGGCUUUUUAAGUCGGAUGUGAAAUCCCUGAGCUUAACUUAGGAAUUGCAUUCGAUACUGGGAAGCUAGAGUAUGGGAGAGGAUGGUAGAAUUCCAGGUGUAGCGGUGAAAUGCGUAGAGAUCUGGAGGAAUACCGAUGGCGAAAGCAGCCAUCUGGGCCUAAUACUGACGCUGAGUACGAAAGCAUGGGGAGCAAACAGGAUUAGAUACCCUGGUAGUCCAUGCCGUAACGAUGUCUACUAGCCGUUGGGGCCUUUGAGCUUUAGUGGCGCAGCUAACGCGAUAAGUAGACCGCUUGGGAGUACGGUC
This 830-nucleotide ribosomal RNA is filed under the name uncultured bacterium. RNAcentral describes it as "bacterial SSU rRNA". It matches the Rfam family "Bacterial small subunit ribosomal RNA", at positions 60 to 887 of the family's 1533-position model. The record is from RNAcentral.